This 253-nucleotide ribosomal RNA is filed under the name uncultured bacterium. Its description in RNAcentral is "partial 16S ribosomal RNA". It matches the Rfam family "Bacterial small subunit ribosomal RNA", at positions 524 to 776 of the family's 1533-position model. The record is from RNAcentral.
UACGGAGGAUCCGAGCGUUAUCCGGAUUUAUUGGGUUUAAAGGGAGCGUAGGUGGAUUGUUAAGUCAGUUGUGAAAGUUUGCGGCUCAACCGUAAAAUUGCAGUUGAAACUAGCAGUCUUGAGUACAGUAGAGGUGGGCGGAAUUCGUGGUGUAGCGGUGAAAUGCUUAGAUAUCACGAAGAACUCCGAUUGCGAAGGCAGCUCACUGGACUGCAACUGACACUGAGGCUCGAAAGUGUGGGUAUCAAACAGG